This 72-nucleotide transfer RNA is filed under the name Gymnascella aurantiaca. RNAcentral's name for it is "tRNA-Ala". It matches the Rfam family "tRNA". From Rfam's summary of the family: Transfer RNA (tRNA) molecules are approximately 80 nucleotides in length. Their secondary structure includes four short double-helical elements and three loops (D, anti-codon, and T loops). The record is from RNAcentral. Lineage: Eukaryota; Fungi; Ascomycota; Eurotiomycetes; Onygenales; Gymnoascaceae.
GGGGCUAUAGUUUAAUUGGUAAAAUACGUACUUUGCACGUGCAGGAUUCAGGUUCAAUUCCUGAUGGCUCCA